AAAUCCGGUCAGGUCUGCUCAAAAUGCGUCCAGGUUUGCUCAAAUGCACCCAAAACCUGGUCAGGUGUGGUUAAAUCUGCCCAAAAUCCACCCAAAAUCCGGCCAGGUCUGCUGAAAUCCCCUUAAAUGCACCCAAAAUUCACCCAGGUCUGCAAAAAAUGCACAAAAUCUGCACAAAAUUCACCCAAAAUCCAGCCAGGUUUGCUCAAAUCUGCCUAAAAUCUGCUCAGGUUUGCUCAAAAUCCACCCAAAUCCACCCAGGUCUGUUCAAAAUUCACCCAAAUCUGUUCAAAAUUCACCCAGAUCCUCCCAAAUCCACUCAAAAUUCACCGAAAUUCACCCAAAAUCCACUCAGUCUGUUCAAAAUCCACUUAAAUGCACCCAAAUCUUCCCAAAAUUUGGUCAAAUCCACCCUGAUCCACCCAGGUCUGCUCAAAAUCCACCUAAAUGCACCCAAAAUUCACCUAAAUCUGCCCAAAAUCCACCCAAAAUUCACCCAGAUCAUCCUAAAUCCACUCAAAAUUCACCAAAAUUCAAAAUUCACCCAAAUGCACCCAAAAUCCGAGGUUGGAGGGAAAAGUUGGGUUCACACCAAGGAAAGGAGAGAAUUUGCACCAAAAAUUGAAAUUUCAGCCCCAAAAAGUGAAAAUUCAGCCAAAAAAAAGGAAAAUUUAACCCUGGAAAAUGGAAUUGGAGGCAAAUUGAGCCCAAAAAAAUCCAAAUUGACACCAAGAAAUCUCAAAUCCCACCCUAAAAAAGCAAAUUUGGUUCGCACCAACUCAAAUCCUCCCUAAAAUCCAAAUUCAUCCCCGAAAAAAUCAAAUCUGACCAAAAAUCCCCAAAAAUCCCCAAAAAUUCCCUGGGAUUGGCCCCGAAUUUUGGGGCAAUUUUGGGGCAAUUUUGUCCCUUUUUGGGUCCUUCCUCAGCCAUAAAAUUGUAAAUAAAUCCCAAAUUCUCCCCA
Molecule: long non-coding RNA, 961 nt
Filed under: Junco hyemalis (dark-eyed junco)
Lineage: Eukaryota; Metazoa; Chordata; Aves; Passeriformes; Passerellidae
Description: lncRNA (ENSJHYG00000010899.1)
Source: RNAcentral